Molecule: ribosomal RNA, 537 nt
Filed under: uncultured Gammaproteobacteria bacterium
Lineage: Bacteria; Pseudomonadati; Pseudomonadota; Gammaproteobacteria
Description: bacterial SSU rRNA
Rfam family: Bacterial small subunit ribosomal RNA
Source: RNAcentral
AGGCCUAAUACAUGCAAGUCGGACGGUAGCACAGAGAGCUUGCUCUUGGGUGACGAGUGGCGGACGGGUGAGUAAUGUCUGGGGAUCUGCCCGAUAGAGGGGGAUAACCACUGGAAACGGUGGCUAAUACCGCAUAACGUCGCAAGACCAAAGAGGGGGACCUUCGGGCCUCUCACUAUCGGAUGAACCCAGAUGGGAUUAGCUAGUAGGCGGGGUAAUGGCCCACCUAGGCGACGAUCCCUAGCUGGUCUGAGAGGAUGACCAGCCACACUGGAACUGAGACACGGUCCAGACUCCUACGGGAGGCAGCAGUGGGGAAUAUUGCACAAUGGGCGCAAGCCUGAUGCAGCCAUGCCGCGUGUAUGAAGAAGGCCUUCGGGUUGUAAAGUACUUUCAGCGGGGAGGAAGGCGAUGCGGUUAAUAACCGCGUCGAUUGACGUUACCCGCAGAAGAAGCACCGGCUAACUCCGUGCCAGCAGCCGCGGUAAUACGGAGGGUGCAAGCGUUAAUCGGAAUUACUGGGCGUAAAGCGCACGC